RNAcentral lists this ribosomal RNA (894 nucleotides) under Staphylococcus aureus. RNAcentral describes it as "partial 23S ribosomal RNA". It matches the Rfam family "Bacterial large subunit ribosomal RNA", at positions 493 to 1395 of the family's 2925-position model. The record is from RNAcentral. Lineage: Bacteria; Bacillati; Bacillota; Bacilli; Caryophanales; Staphylococcaceae.
AACCAGUACCGUGAGGGAAAGGUGAAAAGCACCCCGGAAGGGGAGUGAAAUAGAACCUGAAACCGUGUGCUUACAAGUAGUCAGAGCCCGUUAAUGGGUGAUGGCGUGCCUUUUGUAGAAUGAACCGGCGAGUUACGAUUUGAUGCAAGGUUAAGCAGUAAAUGUGGAGCCGUAGCGAAAGCGAGUCUGAAUAGGGCGUUUAGUAUUUGGUCGUAGACCCGAAACCAGGUGAUCUACCCUUGGUCAGGUUGAAGUUCAGGUAACACUGAAUGGAGGACCGAACCGACUUACGUUGAAAAGUGAGCGGAUGAACUGAGGGUAGCGGAGAAAUUCCAAUCGAACCUGGAGAUAGCUGGUUCUCUCCGAAAUAGCUUUAGGGCUAGCCUCAAGUGAUGAUUAUUGGAGGUAGAGCACUGUUUGGACGAGGGGCCCCUCUCGGGUUACCGAAUUCAGACAAACUCCGAAUGCCAAUUAAUUUAACUUGGGAGUCAGAACAUGGGUGAUAAGGUCCGUGUUCGAAAGGGAAACAGCCCAGACCACCAGCUAAGGUCCCAAAAUAUAUGUUAAGUGGAAAAGGAUGUGGCGUUGCCCAGACAACUAGGAUGUUGGCUUAGAAGCAGCCAUCAUUUAAAGAGUGCGUAAUAGCUCACUAGUCGAGUGACACUGCGCCGAAAAUGUACCGGGGCUAAACAUAUUACCGAAGCUGUGGAUUGUCCUUUGGACAAUGGUAGGAGAGCGUUCUAAGGGCGUUGAAGCAUGAUCGUAAGGACAUGUGGAGCGCUUAGAAGUGAGAAUGCCGGUGUGAGUAGCGAAAGACGGGUGAGAAUCCCGUCCACCGAUUGACUAAGGUUUCCAGAGGAAGGCUCGUCCGCUCUGGGUUAGUCGGGUCCUAAG